AACCAUUGACUUGAGCCAAUUUGGACAUUACAUGCCCUCUUUUUAAGUCUCUUAGAAUACCUGUGAGGAAUUGUUCCCACUUCAACAAACCUUUUGAGGUAAUUGUUUCCUACUUCUCUCACUUCCCCAAAUCUCUUGUUUUGAAUUGUUUGGUUUUUUUUUUCGUAUUUUACUUUAAUUGUUCAUCUCAUGUUAUGUUUAUGUUCUAUCUCAGUUCAUUCUAUAUUUUGUAUAGUUUAUUAGGUGAUUUAAUUUAGAAUAUAUAAUAUAUUUGUGUGAUAUUCCAAUUAAUUUCAUAUUUUGCAUAAUUUAUUUUGAUUUAAUUAAAAAAGAGUAUUUAUAUGUAAUGAUCCAAUUAUGUUCCGUAGGCUUUAUCCAGUUAGCGGUCAAGUUACUGUUUAUAAUUGUACUAAUACAAAGAAAAAUUGUUCUUAUAUAUCACUUAUCUAAAGUUUAAACGGGUUCACUCUAAGUAGAUUUGAUUAUGAGAUUUGUCUAAAAAGUAAUAGGGUUUGAGUAAAAGUAUUGAUUCGAAAAAUGAGUUUGGGUUAAAAAAGAGGCCUGUUUAGUCUCGGGUAAGCUUAUUUUGGCUUUGUAAAAAAAGAAAAGAAAAAGAACUUGUUGCUUUUUGUUGCUGAUUUCACUAUUUUUACUGUUAUUUUAUCACUGUUUUGGUGUUGUUUCACUAUUAUAUUACUGCUAUUUUAUUGUUAUUAUUUAGAUAUUGUAUAAAUCUUAUUUUAUUGUUACUUUUACGACUAUUUUAGAGACAUUUGCUUGUUAAGUUGCACGUAUCUUAAUGUUAUUUAAGUAUAAAGACUUUGUUUAAUUUAUUUUCAAUUUGUUGGGAAACAUUUAUUUUAAUGUUUUUAGUGUAUUUGAUGUAUUAUAUUUUUUAAAUAUGUUUUUAUAUAAAAAUGAUAAUAUAAAGAAAUUUUAAUACGGACGGGCUUAAAUAUGUUUUUAAAUAUGUACCAAUGUUUCCGAAUAUGUAUAAUAUUUAAGUAAUAUAUAAAACAUGUAAUUUCCUUUUAAACAACAAAUAUAUAUAUAUAAUUAUAAGUAUGCUAGCAAAUUCAAAAACAUUUAAAUGUAUGUAGUAAUUUAAUGUUAAUAAUAUUCAUGAAAUAAAACUAAUUUUAUUAUAAGGUAUAUAUAUACAUGUAUAACAAUGUAUAAAACAUUACAUAAAAUAGUAUACAACAUGUGGAAAUACAAUUACCCAAAUUACAACAAAUAAGUAAACCAUUAAUACAAAUGAUACAAUUAAUAUAAACAUUACAAAUAAUAUAAAUGAUAUGAUAAAAAUAAAUUAAAAAAAUAAUUAAUAAAGUACCUCAAAAUAUACGAGUAAAUAAGCCCGAAUUUAAAACUAUAAAAUGAAUCCAAACAAAUUACCUAAUUGAAAUCAAAGUAAAAUAAAAAAAGGGAUAAUUUACAACUAAAAUAAACUACUAAUAAUAAAAUAAGGAUCCAUGUAUAACACGCGUGAAUUCACAGGGACUAAGAUUGAAAUUAUCCCUGAUCCUGAAACAUUGCGUUGAGACAUGGGCUAAAAUGCAACGUCAUACCAACUUUAGGGAAGAUUUUUAAGAAAACAAAACAAAUCAGGCGCAAAUGGGAGCUAAUCAUAAUGCGGCGCGAAUGGGAAGGGCCUGCUGCACAAAUAAUCCAUUUUAGGCGCAAAAGCGCAGAUUCGGGUCUCCAAGCGGGUUGACGCACGGACCCCCUUCCUUAAACGGCGCCGUUUUUUAUUUUGAUGCUAAAUCCCUAUUUUCAUUUGUUUUCCUUUCAAAACGCAGAUGAAAGACAAAACCCUUGCUCUGUGAGGGCUUAUCUCAUCGCGCAGCCACUAACCUCCAUCAAUUUGAUGGCCAAUGGCGCGGAUAAUGGCCGGAUCAUGCCAACGGAGGCCACGACCUUGGAAAUCUGGUAACCUCGAUCCCUUUUUCUCUUUUUUUUUAAAAAAAAAAAGAAACGUGAAUCUUAUGCUAUUCUUUCAAAAAAUGAAAAUAAAUUUUGAAGAUUUAAACAAAACUUUAACACCGCUCGACCCUCGCCCACAUCUAUGCAUAUUUGAGAUGUUUGAGCUUUCAUCGGCGUCGAUUUGGGUUCCCCUUCAUGUGUUCGUGCUAAAUUUGCAAACCAAUCAAAGGAAAUAAAAAAAUAAACUUGGAAAUCACCUUUCAAACUUUUGGCUUGAUUUUUAAUAUCUGGUGUGCGUAAGAUGCGUAGGUACAUUCGAUGGCUUUUUAUAGCCGGAUUUACAAAGUAAAUAAAAAUAAAAUUACAUUUAAUCGCUGUAAAUUCUGUUAGCCUCUUUCUCGUGUAUUCCUUUGCUGUUUAUUUUUCCUUCUCGCAGGUUCCGUUGACGUGGAUGUACGGAGGUGCACCUGGGAUGUACGGAGACAGUCGUGCAUGAGAAUCCCUGUGGGAAGCCGACCCUCUGGUACUAUUCUAGUUUAUUCCAGAAGUUUCUGGCAUUCUCAGGCUAUUGAGAUGCUUUUUAGGUGUAUUGGGCCUCGAGUUUGGGCUAUUGGAAUUGGAUUUUAGGGUUUAUUCAAUUGGGUCAUAGGUUAUUUUAGUUUAAUGGACUUUUAUGGUAUUGUUUUUUAUUUUUCAUUUUAGGUUUGGGCUUUGUAAAUGGACUUUGGCCCUAUAAACAAAUUGGUCUGUUAUUUAUUUUUGUUUGGUUUUAUAAAUAUAUUUUGAUUUUUGAUUUUUUUUUUGUUUUUUAUGGGCACGGGCGAAAUGGGCUUAUUUCAGCUGCCCCUCUUUGCUCAUUGUCAUGUAAUGAGAAUAGAGCAAAGACUUUAAAAGGACCAAUUUUGCCCGGUUUUGCUAAAUCUUGACUUCUUUAGUGAAAUAGGACUGGUUUAAAUCUGCUCCAUUGCCUGUACAUAGAGCUAAGAUUUGCCCUCUUCGAUCUGCUGCAACUUCAGGGAAAUAAGAUCUUCAAUCUUCAGUCUGCUCCCUUGUUACCUCAGGAAGAUAAGACUCAUUCUUCAACCUGUUCUCUUGCUACCUUAGAAAGAUAAGGCUGGUGGUAAAAUCUGCUCCAUUGCCGAUACAUGGAGAUAAGAUUCACCAUUUUCGAUCUGCUCCACUGCAACUUCAGGGAGAUAAGAUCUUCAAUCUUCAAUCGGCUUUCUUGCUACCUCAGAAAGAUAAGACUCAUUCUUCA
RNAcentral lists this long non-coding RNA (3184 nucleotides) under Gossypium barbadense (sea-island cotton). RNAcentral's name for it is "long non-coding RNA (GBAR_LNC009604)". The record is from RNAcentral. Lineage: Eukaryota; Viridiplantae; Streptophyta; Magnoliopsida; Malvales; Malvaceae.